This 252-nucleotide ribosomal RNA is filed under the name uncultured bacterium. RNAcentral describes it as "partial 16S ribosomal RNA". It matches the Rfam family "Bacterial small subunit ribosomal RNA", at positions 524 to 776 of the family's 1533-position model. The record is from RNAcentral.
UACAGAGGUCUCAAGCGUUGUUCGGAUUCAUUGGGCGUAAAGGGUGCGUAGGCGGUUUGUUAAGUCGGAUGUGAAAUCCCUCGGCUCAACUGAGGAAGUGCAUCCGAAACUGGCAGGCUUGAGUACUAAAGAGGGUCGCGGAAUUCCCGGUGUAGAGGUGAAAUUCGUAGAUAUCGGGAGGAACACCGGUGGCGAAGGCGGCGACCUGGUAGAUACUGACGCUGAGGUGCGAAAGCGUGGGGAGCAAACAGG